UGCUAAAGCUGAAAGGGUCUAAUGUAAGA
This 29-nucleotide small RNA is filed under the name Bombyx mori (domestic silkworm). RNAcentral describes it as "ovarian small RNA-34052". The record is from RNAcentral. Lineage: Eukaryota; Metazoa; Arthropoda; Insecta; Lepidoptera; Bombycidae.